UGAGCUGACACCUCUGUGAACAGGAAGAAGUCUGAAGGGAGCAGCUCAGGUUUGAUCUGUAAAGAGAGAAACAUUAACUGCUUUGGAUGAUGCUUCUUUAUCCUAAUAUGUCUUGUUUUCCCCAACUCAUCUCUGCCCUAGACACCUCCCUUACAAAUAGCGUAACCCUCCUCCCCCAUAGUCCCUCACUGAGAACUUGUCAUAUACUAGACCCUUGGAUUAAUUACUGCUCUCGUUGUGACUAAAUACUUGACAGGAAGCAGGUUAUGGGAGGAGAGGUAUAUUUUGGCUUGCAGUCUGAGGGAUACGGUGAGUCAGCAGAGCCGCGGCAGUAGGUGAUCACGGGGUGACAAGGGCAUGUGGCAGCUGCAGGCUCCCAUCUCAGCUGACCAGAAGCAGAUGGAAAGAAAUGCUGGCUUCCUAUUGGCUUUCUCCUUUCCCCCAUUUUAUUCGAUGAGGCAAGACUCCAGGCCAUGAGGUGAUGAUGCCCACCUGCAGGGCGAAUACUUCCCUGUUAGCUAUUCUUCUCUCAGAAUGUUCUCUCAGACAAACUCAAAAGUGUGCCCCAUUAAUGCCCUAGGCUUUUAUUAAUCCAAUCAAGUUGGCAAGCUAAAUCAACUGUCACAACUCUGUUCCGAGCAUCCCAGUAGUUCCUCUAACCAUUAUAACAAUUCUUUGAAAUUUGUCACUAUUAUUACCUUUAUAUCACAGAUGAAGAAAUGAGACAUAGAGAGGUUAAAUAAGUUCCCUCAAAGGCACUAGCUCUUGUUAAGUAGAUAUCUUUCCUUUUUACUGAUGAUACCAUUUGGGCUAAAGCUGCUUCCUCCGUGUAGUGAAUGACAGCCUAACUUAGUAGGCUAACUAAGGUUACUACACGUUCUCAAUCUCAGCAGUUGGGUUUUAGCCAAUCAGAGACGACUGACUGAUCAGACCAUGUUCAUAUAAGGCAAGUACCUAAUUACACUGUGCUCAUAUAUGGCAAAAGACUGACCCCAGCCAAUCAGAUUACUUCUGUAUGGUUCUUCUUCCUUUCCUCUGGCCAUAAGCAUAACUUACGCAUAUGACUGGGUUCUGGUUCUAAAUGUUCCAACUCUAUAAACUUUUUCCUGCACUUUGUUAAAUUUAAUUUAUCUCCAAUUUUCCCUGAAUUCCAUUAAGUGGCAACACCAUAUACCAAGUUCGUCUAUCUUCUGAUCUGUAAUGUUAAGCAGAACUAGAAGAGUUUUUAAAAGUGCACUCAAAUCACUUCUUAUAAGUCUUCUCUGGAGAAAUCUGCUUUAAAGUGGAGUCUAUUAAUAAUAAUAGUGUACAUUUCUACUAGCCAUCUAUCCUUGGUUAAGUCAUUCACAUCUCUGAAACUCGGUUUGUUUAAUCUGAGGGGCCCCCCUCCAGUUGGCUACAUUCCUGUUCUUUUCAACUUUGUGUGUUUUAUUCCAUGGCUUCUGCCUUAUAUUUUUAUGGGUUUUUAAACAAUCUGUCAUUUUAUUUGAGCCAAUAAGUAAUUUUUGCCUACCUUCAUUUUUCUAGAUAUGUUCACUGUUACAGGUGGGUGCCUGCCAUGAUUACUGUUUUACACAUGCCCUGGGGAUCUGAACUCAGGUCUUCACGAUUGCUGGCAUGCUGGCAUUUUACUAAUUGAGCCAUUGUCCCAGCCUUACUGUUGUUUCUUUUGUUCCAUCAAUACAACACCUACAGAGAAAACAUGAUACCAGAGUUGGGAUCCUCAGAACCUAUGCAAAAUGUCAGCUGUGCUUGUGUGUGGCUGCAACUGUAGCAUAGGAAGCAGUCAGGCAGAUCCACCAAGCUCUGUGGCCGGCCAGGUUAGUCAACUGGUGAGCUCUGGUUUCAAUGAUAGGCUCUGUCUCCAAGGGUAAGGUGGAGAGCUAUCAAGGAAGUCAGUGGUUUGACCUUCGGCCUCCAUAUUGAUGUGAACACACAUAUUUACUCACUAGAAUGCACAUGCACACACACAAUACCACACACACACUUGUACCUGCGCAAAGAAAAAAAUGACUUCUAUAACAUAAAGUUGACAGUCACAUGAUCGAGGUAUACUGAAGGGCAUUUUAAGGAGAUAUUUAUUUUAUGGCUUUUGUUACCCUUUUGAAAGACGUUUCCCUCACAUUGUGGCUUUUAAAUUAGUUUUAAUAUGACUAAUUGCAGGAACCAGAUACUGCGAAUACAGGCUGCUUAGUAAACGACCUCUAAAGGGUGAGUGGUAGAGCAGUGUCCUCAUGGCCCGUGGAUCAGAUGGUAUGAACGGGCUGAUUGAGUCUAGCGCGGGCGCCUUCAGAUCAGGCUCAGAGGGGAUGGUAGGGGUAGGGGCGAGAGGAGGCUGCUGUUCCAGAAACUAUUUGUUCUUGAGCCUGAGGUAAAGGAUAGCAAAGUCCCAUGGGUAACUCUUCCUGGAGAUGGUAUAAGUGCAGGAGGCCAAGGGGCAAAGGCAAAUGCUUCUGAAGAGCUGUUGUGGGCAGAAUCGUCCUCUACAAAGAUAGAUUGAAGUCGGAGUCUCUGCCCCGCGUUUGACCAGUGAAUGUGACCUCAUUUGGAAAUACAAUCUUUUAGGAUGGAAUCCCAUUAGGGUGACGUCAUAAUGGAUUAAUGUGGGCCCUUGUCCAAUGUCUCACAAAAGGAAAGAGACUUGGGCACCGAUGCCCAGGAAGAAUAUCAUGUCAGUGAAGGCAGAGACUGGAGAUUUGUUGACAUAACCCAAAACUGCCAAGCUUUGCUGGUGCUGUGGAUUUGAACUCAGGUCCUCACGAUAAUGCAUCGAGUAUGCCAUCUUCCCAGCUGUAAAAGUGCUCGUCGUCAUCGAUACAUCCUGCCUGAUAAGGUUUCUGACUGAUUUGUGAUGGUUCUCAAUCUGUUUGAAUACACGGACCACAAUGAAUCGUUCUGACUACCUUUCAAGCAAAUCUUAUUUCCCUAUA
This is a non-coding RNA of Rattus norvegicus (Norway rat), 2930 nucleotides long. The record is from RefSeq and is a predicted model, not a curated record. Lineage: Eukaryota; Metazoa; Chordata; Mammalia; Rodentia; Muridae.